AUAAGAUAUCAAGGGCAACAGGUGAAUGCCUUGGCGCUGAGAGGCGAUGAAAGACGCGGUAAGCUGCGAUAAGCAUCGGGGAGGAGCUAAACAUCCUACGAUCCGAUGAUUUCUGAAUGGGGAAACCCGAUGGGAGUCAUGUCCCAUCAUCCUGAGCUGAAUAUAUAGGCCCAGAGAAGCCAACCCGGGGAAGUGAAACAUCUCAGUACCCGGAGGAAGAGAAAUCAAACGAGACUCCCAAAGUAGCGGCGAGCGAAAUGGGAAGAGCCCAAACCGAGUGGUUUCGACCAUUCGGGGUUGUAGGGCCGGCAUACGUGAUUCUGGAGUAGGCAGAGGAAGUGAGCUGGAAAGCUCCGCCACAGCGGGUGAUAGCCCCGUACUCGAAACCGAAAAGGACGCAGCCGGUACCUGAGUACUGCGAGGCACGUGGAACCUCGUGGGAAUCUAGGGGGACCAUCCUCUAAGGCUAAGUACUCCUCAGCGACCGAUAGUGAACUAGUACCGUGAGGGAAAGGUGAAAAGAACCCCUGUUAGGGGAGUGAAAUAGAAUCUGAAACCUGUUGCCUACAAGCUGCGAGAGCUACUUCGGUAGUGAUCGCGUGCCUUUUGUAUAAUGAGUCAGCGAGUUACUCUACCGUGCGAGGUUAAGCGAAAGCGUAGCCGUAGUGAAAGCGAGGCUUAAUAGGCCGACUAGUACGUUGGAGUAGACCCGAAACCGGGUGAUCUAUCCAUGAGCAGGUUGAAGCAAGGGUAAAGCCUUGUGGAGGACCGAACCGUCAACGGCUGAAAACGUUCCGGAUGACUUGUGGAUAGGGGUGAAAGGUCAAUCAAACCCGGUGAUAGCUGGUUCUCCCCGAAAUAUAUUGAGGUAUAGCCUCGGGAAUUGAUUAGCGGAGGUAAAGCACUGACAGAGCUAGGGGUCCUACCAGAUUACCAAACUCUAUCAAACUCAGAAUGCCGCUUAAUCGUAUCCCGGGAGUCAGACGGCGGGUGCGAAGGUUCGUCGUCAAAAGGGAAACAGCCCAGACCAACAGCUAAGGUCUCCAAAUCCAUGCUCAGUGGUGAAGGUAGUGGAACCGUUUAGACAGCCAGGACGUUGGCUUAGAAGCAGCCAUCGUUUAAAGAAAGCGUAAUAGCUCACUGGUCUAAUGGCUCUGCGCCGAAAAUGUAACGGGGCUAAGCAUGGUACCGAAGCUUUGGCAAUCUCCUUUGGAGAUUGGGUAGGGGAGCGUUCGCUGCGGGCUGAAGGUGUAUCGGAAGGUAUGCUGGACUGCAGUGAAGUGAUUAUGCUGACAUGAGUAACGAUAAAAUAUGUGAAAAACAUAUUCGCCGAAAACCCGAGGUUUCCUGGGUAAAGGUAAUCUUCCCAGGGUUAGUCGGAUCCUAAGGUGAGGGUGAAAGCCGUAACCGAUGGAAAACAGGUUAAUAUUCCUGUACUUGUUGUGUAGCGCGAUGGAGGGACGCAGGAAGAUAGGCGGGCCGGGUGUUGGAUAUCCCGGUGCAAGCGUGUAGGAAUAUCCGGUAGGCAAAUCCGCCGGACGAAUCUGAGACGCGAGUCCGUGGGCGCAAGCCCUGAAGCCGUUGAGUCUAUGCUGCCUAGAAAAGCUCCUAAGUUUAUCCACAGCAAUCCGUACCGCAAACCAACUCAGGUGGGUGGGAUGAACAAUCCAAGGCGCUCGAGAGAACUCUGGCCAAGGAACUCGGCAAAAUAACCCCGUAACUUCGGAAGAAGGGGUGCUCUCUAGGGUGACAUGUUUAACAUAUGAAGCCCCGGGGAGCCGCAGUGAAUUGGUGGUGGCGACUGUUUACUAAAAACAUAGGUCUGUGCGAAGUCCUAAAGACGACGUAUACGGACUGACGCCUGCCCGGUGCUGGAAGGUUAAAAGGAGGGGUCAGCGCAAGCAAAGCUCCGAAUUGAAGCCCCAGUAAACGGCGGCCGUAACUAUAACAGUCCUAAGGUAGCGAAAUUCCUUGUCGGGUAAGUUCCGACCCGCACGAAAGGC
Molecule: ribosomal RNA, 2003 nt
Filed under: human gut metagenome
Description: bacterial LSU rRNA
Rfam family: Bacterial large subunit ribosomal RNA
Source: RNAcentral